UACGGGGGGGGCAAGCGUUGUUCGGAAUUACUGGGCGUAAAGGGCUCGUAGGUGGCCAACUACGUCAGACGUGAAAUCCCUCGGCUUAACCGGGGAACUGCGUCUGAUACUGGAUGGCUUGAGUUUGGGAGAGGGACGCGGAAUUCCAGGUGUAGCGGUGAAAUUCGUAGAUAUCGGGAGGAACACCAGUGGCGAAGGCGGCGACCUGGGCCAAUACUGACGCUGAGGUGCGAAAGCGUGGGGAGCAAACAGG
RNAcentral lists this ribosomal RNA (253 nucleotides) under uncultured bacterium. Its description in RNAcentral is "partial 16S ribosomal RNA". It matches the Rfam family "Bacterial small subunit ribosomal RNA", at positions 524 to 776 of the family's 1533-position model. The record is from RNAcentral.